Long non-coding RNA from Oncorhynchus keta (chum salmon), 522 nucleotides. RefSeq lists it as uncharacterized. The record is from RefSeq and is a predicted model, not a curated record. Lineage: Eukaryota; Metazoa; Chordata; Actinopteri; Salmoniformes; Salmonidae. The transcript has 2 exons.
UAUUGAGAAAAUAACACCGUGUCACUCUCGUGAUUAUUUCUCCCCUGUUUUCAGGGGCGUAACACAGACACCCAUGCAUACCCCACAAGACAUGCCGCCAGAGGUCUCUUCACAAUCCCCAAGUCCAGAACAGACUAUGGGAUGCACACAUUAUUACAUAGAGCCAUGACUACUAUUCUACAUCAGGUAAAUGAUGCAAGCAGUAGAAUCAGAUAAGAAAACAAGUAUAAAUACACUUUAUGGAACAGCGGGGACUGUGAAGAGACACACACAAAGGUACACAAGCGCUAGCACACUCACUCUACAAACACAAACAUACAUUGUAAGAUUGUUGUAGGGGGUAUUAUACAUUUUGCAUUAUAGUGUAAUAAUAUAUGAUGUACGGUUUUAUCUUUUGUUUUAUAUGUAAUGUAAGUGCCUUAAUGUUUUCGGACCCCAGGAAGAGUAGCUGCUGCCUUGGUAGCAGCUAAUGGGGAUCCCUAAUAAAUAGAAAUUGUCCGCUCCAUUAAAACUUGAGACAUC